GAUGAAGACGUAGUGAAAUGCGAUAAGUAGUGUGAAUUGCAGAAUUCAGUGAAUCAUCGAAUCUUUGAACGCACAUUGCGCCCUUUGGUAUUCCAAAGGGCAUGCCUGUUCGAGCGUCAUUUGUACCCUCAAGCUUUGCUUGGUGUUGGGCGUCUUGUCUCUAGCUUUGCUGGAGACUCGCCUUAAAGUAAUUGGCAGCUGGCCUACUGGUUUCGGAGCGCAGCACAAGUCGCACUCUCUAUCAACAAAGGUCUAGCAUCCAUUAAGCCUUUUUUUCAACUUUUGACCUCGGAUCAGGUAGGGAUACCCGCUGAACUUAAGCAUAUCAAUAAGCGGAGGA
Molecule: unclassified non-coding RNA, 340 nt
Filed under: soil metagenome
Description: partial contains 5.8S ribosomal RNA, internal transcribed spacer 2, and large subunit ribosomal RNA
Rfam family: 5.8S ribosomal RNA (bases 1-119)
Source: RNAcentral